This is a non-coding RNA of Ciona savignyi (Pacific transparent sea squirt), 82 nucleotides long. The record is from Rfam. Lineage: Eukaryota; Metazoa; Chordata; Ascidiacea; Phlebobranchia; Cionidae.
GUCGUCGUGGCCGAGUGGUUAAGGCGACAGACUAGAAAUCUGUUGGGCUCUGCUCGCACAGGUUCGAAUCCUGUCGGCGACG